Scleropages formosus (Asian bonytongue) is the source of this 314-nucleotide long non-coding RNA. RefSeq lists it as uncharacterized. The transcript has 3 exons. The record is from RefSeq and is a predicted model, not a curated record. Lineage: Eukaryota; Metazoa; Chordata; Actinopteri; Osteoglossiformes; Osteoglossidae.
UAAGGUGGCGGUUCACGGAGGAGAUACCAAGUACACUUUGCCUUAAUUCUUUCCUGUUGUAUGUGUCUAUUUUCUAAAGUUGCAGGCCAAGCUGAAGUUUGGUGUUUCAGUGCAGUAAACACCUCAAGCUCUCUGCUCAUUCUCCAUGUGAGCGUCAUCCUGCAGUGGAACGAUACCAAAGCAAUGUAGAGCAAAGUCAUAAACAAGCAAACAGCUGCCACUGCAGACAAAGUGCAACUCAAGGACCUCAUUACAGACCUCCUGCAGAGCUUAAUGGGGUCGCAGGAGUCUAACCCAGCAACACAAGGCAUAAG